AGCAUCCUUUGUCAUUGGGGGCUGACUUGGUCCUUCAUUCAAUGACUGAAUAUUUGAAUGGUCACUGUGAUGUGUUGAUGGGGGCAUUGUGUACUAAUGAUAAGGAGAUUCAUAAAAAAUUGAAAUUCCUACAAUUAGAAUGGUUUUAUAUUGGAAGGAUUAUUAUUAUGGAAG
Long non-coding RNA from Amphimedon queenslandica, 174 nucleotides. RefSeq lists it as uncharacterized. The transcript has 3 exons. The record is from RefSeq and is a predicted model, not a curated record. Lineage: Eukaryota; Metazoa; Porifera; Demospongiae; Haplosclerida; Niphatidae.